AUAGAUAAAAUGUGUGACCUGACCUGCCUAGACUCAUCAGAUAGACCCAGCCAUAAGAAAUUUCCUUACUUUCAGCCUUUUUUCUCUAUCAUUGAUCCUCCCAUUGAUAUUGCAGAUGUAUAUUUUCAAACAAUCACAAUGAGGAAGGUUACCGUAAGUAUCCACAUCUUUCCAAAGUGAUUUUAAUUUGAUAUAAAAAUCAGAAACAUUUUCACUUCCUUGGAAUGUCAUCAGUGAUAAAAUGUGGAACCGGAGGAUACGUCGACGCAAUGUGCGCUAGCCCGG
This 285-nucleotide long non-coding RNA is filed under the name Zostera marina. Its description in RNAcentral is "long non-coding RNA (ZMAR_LNC001084)". The record is from RNAcentral. Lineage: Eukaryota; Viridiplantae; Streptophyta; Magnoliopsida; Alismatales; Zosteraceae.